Marmota monax (woodchuck) is the source of this 4460-nucleotide long non-coding RNA. RefSeq lists it as uncharacterized. The transcript is spliced from 3 exons. The record is from RefSeq and is a predicted model, not a curated record. Lineage: Eukaryota; Metazoa; Chordata; Mammalia; Rodentia; Sciuridae.
GAUUUUUACGAUCUAACUUCGAGAUAAAACCCCUAUCCAUUUGACAUCUAAAUGUCAUAGCGACUUUUGGGAUAGUUUGCUAUCGGCAAAGGGGGACAAAUUCAAGGGGUGAAGGGGAACAAGGGCCCAGUACAGCCUCCAGGACCCUCUGCUGCCUCCUCACCAGCCCCCCUCCCCCCAGGUCCUGUAAGAAGUUGGGCCCAGCUGGAAGGGAAUUGAUCGGGUUGCCUGUUGGGAGAUGGAGCCACUACAGGCAGGGCCGGCGCCUGGAGUCGGGCAUGAAAGGAAAUAGCGCCUCAUCGCUCUUAUCUAAGCCCAGAGCCGCCUCCUCGCCCUCUCUGGCCUCUGCGGAGAUUCCAGGCCCUACGGAGACCAGGACGUCCCUCAGCGCCACCGCCCCUCGUGCCAAUGCUGCCGGGAAAUCGCCGAUACCCGCACUGGGCAAGAGAACUGCGCGGGGGCAAUUGGGGGAGGCCCGGAUCAGGGAGGGAUGGUGAAAGGGGGAGGGAGCACAAACCCACAGGGGUUGUAGCGACUGGCUUCUUCCGGCCAGAGCCGCUGAAGCCCAGACACCCCCAUCCUCUCUUUCGCAGCCCCCAUGCUUGAGCUCUCCUCCCAGCUUAAAAAGGAGACUAGAAGCUGGGCUUCAGUGGCCCCUUUCGGUUUCCCCUCCCAUAAUCUCUGAUUUUGGAUCCCCCUUCAGAGAGCGGCCACCCCUCUCUCCACCACCGAAUUUCCUAGGAAACCUCUCCCUGCAGCCCCAGAGGUGGGGUUCAGCCCCUUCUUGGAGUGUGGGGGGGAGAAAAACCCAAGCCCCACCCCCUACAAAAGCGAUGCAGAAGAAUAUGAAGAGUAUUGUAGAAUCUCCCUUACCUUUGAAGACCUUGGCAGAUUUUUCCUCCGGAUUGAAAAGAGUGGGAAAGGAGGGGGGAAAAGCGUUCGGUUUCUUCUUUCAGCUUCCAGAUAAUAUUGUCCCAACCUGAGAGCCGUUGCUUCCCCUUCUCUGACUUGGGAGAGAGGGUGUUUCUUUUUUUCUGACAUUUGCUUAGAAAAUGGAGUAAGUUCUGUCUUUGAAAAAGGGUAUCAGGCUGCAGUCCUGAGUAGAUUGUCCAUUUACCCUUCAUGAUGACUAAAAUCCCAGAUCAGCAAGCAAAUUAACUUAAGAAUCAAAAUUAUUUUUCUUUCUCUCUUUUGUGUGUAAUUCCCACCCCUCCUUCCCUCUCUCACUCUCUUCUCUCCUCUCCCCCCUCUCUCCCUCUCUCUUUUGCUCUAUUGAGCUGAUAUUGAAGUAUAAAAAUAUCAAGAGGCUGGAGCCCUGAAGGACGACAGUGCUCCGACCUAGGUGUGGUGUCCAAAAGAAUGCUGCAUUAUAACCACCAGGGAAAUGAUAAAAAGUUCAUGUUCACGAUCGCCCGGCCACAUGACCGGCGCCGGCCAAUCGCUGGAUUCAACCACUCAUAAACUUCUAUCACAAAGUUGUAAAUUUUCAUAAAACAACAAGGAAUUUAUUGCAUUUCUUCAUGGCUGCUCCACCAGCAACCCUUUUCUCAGUCGCCAUCUUCUUUUCUUCUCCUUCUCUCUUUUUGGGAAACCCCAGUCUGAGAAAGGGUGAGAUUUGGGGUUCAGGAAUUCAGGAUGGAGAAGUCACAAGGGUCCAGCUAGGAAGGGGGUUCUUUUUGGAACCUCCCUAUUUUUCAAAGGAGCUCUGCCUCUCUUUUCUAGUAAAGAAUAACCCCAAAUCCUCCUCAUGGGACUAUUCUAAGGCAAUUUGGAGGUGAGACAGGAGUUGCCAUCAGCAUCAAGGCAAAAUGAAAGCUUCAGUAGUUCCUUUCCCCCUCUGACCUGACCCCCUCGAUCUUAGUCCUAAAGAUAGUAGGAAUCCCCCACCUGUGAGGCUUGCAGGGUUUCGGGUGGGGGCCCUAAAUUCCCUAGGGCCUAGUGUUUGCCCAGAGGGGAAGGUGGCCUGCAAGGGAGCCAAGACCCAGUAGUUCUUCAACUGGAUUCUCCCAUUCGGCACCCCAGAAAUUGGGGGAGGGUAAAGCCGGAUCCCAGCCUUUCCCGCCCAAACGCCUGCUGGUCCAAGUUUCCAAGCGCCGGUCCAGGCGCUCUCCAGGGGGUUCUCUGGUCUUUAAUGAAGGAAACUACAGGUUUAGGGACCUUUUACUUUCAAUUCAAUUUAAACAGAUUUUCUGAAAACCAAUCCUCCAAUCCCCUUUCUGUUCGCCAUGUCUAUUCUUUAAAUUUAAACAAUGCAGGGUUUGCAAUCAAAUAAAUGCUUUUUACAUUUAUUCAGCUCUGAGAAUCUAGCUGUAGAGGUACCGUCCUUCAGAGUUUUGGCCUAUUAUUGAGGCUCUGCUGAGCAAAAUAAUAACAACAACAAUAAUUCAUCCCGUGUUUUCCAGGUUCCCUAAAAUAUUCCUGAAUUUUGAAUUGAGCUAUCAGAACUCAAAUACAAGAAACGAAAUAACCUUCCCCCAAAUGUUUCUCUCUUUCUCUCUUUCUCUGUGCUCUUGAGAAGAUUCCAGGUUGCCGGCGGCGGCGAACAGGCAGAAAAGCGAAGAGGAAGCACCCGGCGGUCAGCGCGGCCAGGCUCACGGCGGCCGGGAUACACUCACACCAGCCUGGUAAAUUCUCACCGCUCUCGCAAUCGGGAGUCCUUUUGCCCAUUUUUAAGGUUUAUACGGGUCGCCUGUGUCAAUUUAGAGUGAGACAAAUUAAAUCAAAUGAAAGUAAAAUAAACGGAAAUAAAAAUAAAGGAAUAGCUCUUGACAAAAAAAAAAAAUGUUUGCCAAAUGAGCAGAAAGCUGGGUGCGGGUAGUUUCUCUGGGCCGGCCAGGAGGCCUCUGCACGCGGGCCUGGCCUCUUCCCAACACAGCCCAAGAGGCAGGACUGGAUUUGGGUGUUCACCUUCCCUUACCAUCCGCCCUUCUUUCUCAUAAGGCCUAGCAUUUUGGAUUUCACCUCUGUAUUUGUAGCCAGGGGGCUGCUCAGACCCCUCAGCCUUUUUCGAAGGCCUGCAUAAGGAAGAAAGUUUGUGGAAUUGCAAGAUUUUUCAAUUUUGUUUUGUUAUAUUUUGUGAGUGUGUGACUGAGAGUAUGGGCUCAUGGAUAUAUUUACUUGGGGGCAAAUGUGAAUCUCUGUUUAUAAGCCAAUGUGUGAAUGUGCAUUGGUAUCUAUCAGUGUGUCUGAGUGACUGUGAAUGUGUGUUUACUUGUGAGUGUGUGUGAACUUGAAUGCAUUUGUUCUGGGCAUGGAGCCCUGAUUGUAUGAAUGCCUGUAUGUUCAUUUGUGAACAUAUGAAUAUGGUUGUGUUUAUUUGUGACUGUAUAUGACAGUGUAUAUAUGUGUGAUGUCAGCCUGUGUGUGUGUGUGUGUGUGUGCGCGCGCGCGUGCACGAGCAUGCACUGGUAUAUAUCAAUAUGUGUAAAAGAGUGUAAAGGGAAUAUAUGUGCAUAUGUAAUAUUGGGGUUCACAAGUUGGCAGUCCUAGAGCAAGGGGUCUGGGGGGCAGAGAGCAAGCCCAUACAGAAAGGGUCUGCUACAGAAGGAUGAAGGGAAGGAUUCUGGGUCACCCACCCAUUACUAACCCUAAUCCCCUCCCAACCCCUGGGAGACACAGAAAACAGGACACAUGCUUAUUUUUAAUUGUUUUAUUUUUUCAUCCUUCAGAUACACAUAGAAUGUAAAGAGGAGCACCCGUGGGGCUCAGGGAAGUGUUGGUGGGAGCAAGGAGCAGUAAUCAGGCAAAGGUGGGACACUCCAGCUACUGAGCUACUGGUAGGGUCCUUAGGGCUCCCUAAUGCCCUUUUGGUGUUGCUACUAGGAAGGCCGAGGCUCAGGUACACGGGUGAGAAACAGGCUGCACUCCUCCAGACCCACAGUCCACAAAGACAGCAUCCAAGGGGGUUUACAAAACAGCAAAAUUUUGCAAAGACCUUACAAUAGCCACAUAGAAAAGGGGAGGCAAAUUUUGAAAAGCUACAGAACAGUAGAUAUUGUACAAAAAAACGAACCCAACAGUUUCCUAUAGGUAGUAUUUUUUUUUACAGUGUUGAGAAACCAAAAUUUCACCUUUUUCUCUCCAUGUUUUUUUUUAACUGCUUUCAUUUAAAUAGUUUUUUUUUUUCACCCUAUUGACUUGAGUUUCCGAGUUCAGUUCCCAGAACUGGAAUUCUUCUUUCCCUUGCUCUUCUCUACCUUCUUCUGUCCUUCACUCUUCCUCAUCCUCCUCUGCUUCAGCCUUGUCCUGGCCGGUGAUUCCUGGGCCUGCGGUCUUAUUUUCCUUUUUCCACUUCAUGCGCCGGUUCUGGAACCAAAUCUUUAUCUGUCUUUCGGUGAGGCAGAGCGCGUGCGCGAUCUCGAUGCGCCGCCGGCGGGUCAGGUAGCGAUUGUAGUGAAAUUCCUUCUCCAGCUCCAAGGUCUGGUAGCGGGUGUAGGUCUGGCGGCCUCGCUUACGGUCGG